AGUGGGUGUAACGUACCUACUAGCCUACGACGGGUACGGGUUGUGAGAGCAAGAGCCCGGAGAUGGACUCUGAGACACGAAUCCAGGCCCUACGGGGUGCAGCAGGCGCGAAAACUUUACAAUGCGGGAAACCGUGAUAAGGGGAUCUCGAGUGCCAGCAUAUAAUGUUGGCUGUCCAGAUGCCUAAAAAGCAUCUGUUAGCAAGGGCCGGGCAAGACCGGUGCCAGCCGCCGCGGUAACACCGGCGGCCCGAGUGGUAACCGCUAUUAUUGGGUCUAAAGGGUCUGUAGCCGGCCAGGUAAGUCCCUUGAGAAAUCUGGCAGCUCAACUGUCAGGCUGCUAGGGGAUACUGUUUGGCUUGGGACCGGGAGAGGUGAGAGGUACCUUGGGGGUAGGGGUGAAAUCUUGUGAUCCUCGAGGGACCACCAGUGGCGAAGGCGUCUCACCAGAACGGGUCCGACGGUAAGGGACGAAAGCUAGGGGCACGAACCGGAUUAGAU
Molecule: ribosomal RNA, 500 nt
Filed under: uncultured microorganism
Description: bacterial SSU rRNA
Rfam family: Archaeal small subunit ribosomal RNA
Source: RNAcentral